UUUCUCUCUUUCUCUCGCGCACGAUGCGAAUUCUGCGAAGGGUGCAGACUGUAUCCCGCACUACGAUGGGUGUAUAGAGGUUUGUGGCAUCUUCAGGGCUUUGCAAUCCGGUGGAACGGCCCAUAAAAGAACACGCGUAGGCUUGGCGGUAACGACCAAGAUGACUAGACGUCAUACUCCAGCUUCGUCAGGGUCGGUCAUCAGCAGUGUCCUAAGAGUGAUUCGCAAGAGGUGGGGGUAACUAAGGACUAGGGGGUGCUCAUUACGGGAGUGAACUCCCCAUCUCACAACACGAGCUGACGUCCAACAUGCAUCAGCUGUAGUACAGUAGCAGAUGGCAGAAAUUCAUCUGUAGAAGGUGUAUUGGCAUGUCAUGGGCAGGUACGGCUGUGGGGAAGGCGUCCACUUGGACCACAUACUGACACUGAGGUGCGAGAGCGUGGGGAACAAACAGGAUUAGAUACCCUGGGGAGUGCAAUCCCCUAAACGGUGGUGAAUCGCGUUAGGAUCCCCGAUAUUAUUUCAGGGGUACCAACGGGUUAAAGUCGACGCCUUGGGGAGUACGGCCCCCAAGGUUAAAAUUCAAAUUGAAUUGACGGGGGGCCCGCACAAGCGGUGGAGCAUGUGGUUUUAAUUGGAAGCAACGCGAAGAACCUUACCUGGCCUUGACAUGAUGAGAACUUUCCAGAGAUGGAUUGGUGCCUUCGGGAACUCAGACACAGGUGCUGCAUGGCUGUAGUCAGCUCGCGUCGUGAGACCUGGGAUUAAGUUUGAAUCCUACGGGAGGCAGCAGGAGGAGGUCGAAGGGGUUACGGACGUUGGGCAUGGCGGCGCAUCGUGGGCGCAGAGCGGGAAGCCCGAAGUAUACCCGAGCGUCCGCGGCUGGGGCUCCAUAUAAUAAACAGCUUUUCCAUGAUUCAGUCUAGCAAGUGCAUGCGAGAGCGAUCGGAAGGCCCGAUCAGACCCGUCGCUCGAUGAUCAGACUUAGGUAUGGAAUACCCCG
This 1003-nucleotide ribosomal RNA is filed under the name Burkholderia sp. RNAcentral's name for it is "partial contains 16S ribosomal RNA and 16S-23S ribosomal RNA intergenic spacer". The stretch from base 188 to 1003 matches the Rfam family "Bacterial small subunit ribosomal RNA", at positions 1 to 1259 of the family's 1533-position model. The record is from RNAcentral. Lineage: Bacteria; Pseudomonadati; Pseudomonadota; Betaproteobacteria; Burkholderiales; Burkholderiaceae.